RNAcentral lists this ribosomal RNA (339 nucleotides) under uncultured Sphingobacterium sp. RNAcentral's name for it is "bacterial SSU rRNA". It matches the Rfam family "Bacterial small subunit ribosomal RNA", at positions 121 to 459 of the family's 1533-position model. The record is from RNAcentral. Lineage: Bacteria; Pseudomonadati; Bacteroidota; Sphingobacteriia; Sphingobacteriales; Sphingobacteriaceae.
GCAACUUACCUUUUACUAGGAGAUAGCCAAGAGAAAUUUUGAUUAAUAUCCUAUACAAUUAUUUUUUCGCAUGAUUUAAUAAUAAAAGCUCAGGCGGUAAAAGAUAGGCAUGCGUCCUAUUAGCUAGUAGGUGAGGUAAAGGCUCACCUAAGCUACGAUAGGUAGGGGUCCUGAGAGGGAGAUCCCCCACACUGGUACUGAGACACGGACCAGACUUCUACGGAAGGCAGCAGUAAGGAAUAUUGGACAAUGGAGGCAACUCUGAUCCAGCCAUGCCGCGUGCAGGAAGACGGCCUUAUGGGUUGUAAACUGCUUUUAUACAGGAAGAAACCUGCUCAC